Non-coding RNA from Podarcis lilfordi (Lilford's wall lizard), 72 nucleotides. Lineage: Eukaryota; Metazoa; Chordata; Lepidosauria; Squamata; Lacertidae. The record is from the annotation of a GenBank genome assembly.
GACAGUGUGGUUAAGUGGUUACAGCAUCAGACUAGGAGCUGGGGAACCAGGGUUCAAAUCCCUACACAGCCA